This 1356-nucleotide ribosomal RNA is filed under the name Pseudorhombus pentophthalmus (fivespot flounder). RNAcentral describes it as "16S ribosomal RNA". It matches the Rfam family "Bacterial large subunit ribosomal RNA", at positions 440 to 2486 of the family's 2925-position model. The record is from RNAcentral. Lineage: Eukaryota; Metazoa; Chordata; Actinopteri; Pleuronectiformes; Paralichthyidae.
AAACCAUUUUUCCCCCUAAGUCUAGGCGAUAAAAAAGGAAAUCCGGAGCAAUAGAAAAAGUACCGCAAGGGAAAGCUGAAAGAGAGAUGAAACAGCCCAGUUGAAGCUUAACAAAGCAGAGAUCAAAACUCGUACCUUUUGCAUCAUGAUUUAGCUAGAACCUUCAAGCAAAGAGAACUGGGAGUUUGAACCCCCGAAACUGGGUGAGCUACUCCAAGACAGCCUUUACUGUAGGGCAAACCCGUCUCUGUGGCAAAAGAGUGGGAAGAACUUUGAGUAGAAGUGACAGACUUACCGAACCCAGUAAUAGCUGGUUGCUCGUGAAUUGGAUAGAAGUUCAGCCCCCAACACUUUUUUCUUAGUCACAGUCACUCCCCACUAGCAACUUUACCAAGGAUGAAAAGAAGAAAAGAGAGUUAGUCAAAGGGGGGACAGCCCCUUUGAAACAGACGCAACUUUACCAGGAGGGUAAGGAUCAAACUCAACCAAGGAGUCACCCCUAAGUUGGCCUAAAAGCAGCCAUCUUUAAAGAAAGCGUUAAAGCUCAGACUACUACACUUACUCCCUUUAUUCUGAUAACCUACUCCAAACCCCCUAACCCUACCAGGCCAUUCUAUUAACAUAGAAGCGACCAUGCUAGAAUGAGUAAUCAGGGAAAAACAGCCUCCCUCAAGUCGCAUGUGUAACUCGGAACGGACCCCCCACCGAAUAUUAACGGCCCCAAGCAAAGAGGGCAAUAAAACUACCCCACCCACGCUAGAAAACCUUUUACUGACCUAGACCGUUAAACCUACACAGGAGCGCGUCCUGGGAAAGACUAACCGGGGAAGAAGGAACUCGGCAAAUAUACCUAAAGCCUCGCCUGUUUACCAAAAACAUCGCCUCUUGCAAACCGCAGUAUAAGAGGUCCUGCCUGCCCAGUGACAAAUUGUUCAACGGCCGCGGUAUUUUGACCGUGCUAAGGUAGCGUAAUCACUUGUCUUUUAAAUGAAGACCCGUAUGAAUGGCAAAACGAGGGCUUAACUGUCUCCUUUCCCAAGUCAAUGAAAUUGAUCUCCCCGUGCAGAAGCGGGGAUAACACCAUAAGACGAGAAGACCCUAUGGAGCUUUAGACAAACGACUGAACCGUAUUCCCUGGCCCCUUCUCACAGGAACUAAAUUUAAUGGACCCUCUUUCAAUGUCUUCGGUUGGGGCGACCAUGGGGAAAACAAAACCCCCAAGUGGAAUAGGGGUAACGAAAACGUCGAUUACACCCCUUAAGGUAGAGCGACAGCUCAACACAACAGAAAUUCUGACCAAAAUGAUCCGGACAUUCCGAUCAACGAACCAAGUUACCCUAGGGAUAACAGCGCAAU